UGCGACGGAGCACAGACACGGGCCUGAGACCGCUCCAUCCGGGGUCGCCGGCGCCGAUAACGGCUAUCCGUACGAUGCUGUUCUCUUGCACUUCUCUAUACCUAGCUGGCAAUCUCCACUUCACGGGCAAGCGCCCGUAGCUUACUAAGCACGCUCCGCACUAUUCCGCACAACUUAUUGACGCUUUCACACGAUUUUCCGCGAUUAUAUAGGAGCUCGUAUUUUGACGUUCGUCCUUGUAAACAACUCCCUGACAGCCUUCCAAAGAUGCCAAUGCCAGUGGUUGUGUUGUCUCUCAGGUAGCGAGAUCGAAAUUGCAUGGAGAAGAGGCAAUAAAAGGCUCGGAAAAACUAUUUUCUACUCUGACCUUAUAAGAUCUACCGUAUAGGUAAGAUUUAAGCCAGGAUAGAAGGGGAUCACCAAUUCCGAGUUUCUCAAGCUUUGAAAGUAAACAGGCUAGCGAUAUAGGGUCAAAAGCUGCUUUAAAGUCGGUAUGUAUAUAUAGUAUCCACUUGAGAGCCACGCUCCAUGGUGUUAAAGAUCGAGGAUACAAGGCACAUUAGGUUAGUAGAGGUUGAACGUUUUGGCAUGAAUCCGUGCUGAUGUUCUGAAAUUACAUUUGUAACACACGAACGAAUAGACGAGUGAACAACUGACUCAAACACUUUGGAAGACGAACACAAUAUGGACACACCCCCUAUAGUUAAUACAUGAAAAACGAUUGCCCUUUUUGUGGAUUGUAAUGAGCCAGGCUUUUUUCCACAGUGACGGAAAAUAGCCAUCCUGUUUUGAUCUAUUAUAUAAUCGAUAAAGUAGAGGAGCGAAAAAUGUAGAACAUUUCUUUAAUAAUGCUGAUGGUAUCCCAUCAGGACCGGGGGAAAAAGAAAGUUUGAGUUUGGAUAGGGCAACCAACACAGAAUCGACAUGAAUUGAGACAUUAUUACACGAAAACACAUUCGACGGUGUAUGAACAAGACAAUCAGAAACAUUAACUGGACUGCUGCUGGUGUCGACAAAAACACAAGCAAAAAGUUUUCUCGAGUCUUCGGGAGAAGACGCGGACUCAUUUAACAAAUGUGGUUGAUUAUAUGCGUGGAUGGACAAAAACAUACGUGAAGAAGACAAUUUUCGGCACGAUGUGCACAGAGCUCAUUUCGUCGUCCCGGGCGAAUGGAAAAAAACACAAAAAUCGCAAGUUUCGCCCUCGGGUAGAACAUUUCUACAUUGGUUCGCGGGUUCGAUCUAAAUUGGUUUAUUAUUUAUCCGGUUUAUUAUAACUUGUAUUAUAUUAUUAUAUUAAAAUCAAAUCAUGGGCCGAACCCGACUCAGACUGCACAAUAACUAUGGUCAUGGGCAAAACCCGACUCACAAGCAUUCCUACACCCAACUCGCUGAGCUUGUACCACUCUGUAUUGGUCAUGGGCCGAACCCGACUCACACAUAUACUAAAUUCAAUAAAAUCCCAAGUAGCAGAGCCGAAGUUGUUCAGAGAUUUUUCUGUGUGCCAAAGCCCUGUCUUCUCUUUCUAGAUUUUGGACGGCAAACCGCCGCGCGUGUAGAGAUGUGUGCGUGUGACAAAAAAUGAUGGAUGGGUUUCAAGUCUUUCGUUGGUCACACACACACACAUGCAUCUACUGGUGGUUUGCGCUACAUCGAGUCUACCCAUCUUUCUCGAUCUACCAUGAUUUUUUCUGCUAUCGCACUCAUCCGGGAGUUAAGGAUCCUCAGUUCGUCCAGAACUUUCGUUGUGCGGGAGUGAUGUGCGAUUUCUUGUGUCCCCUACUUUCCUUUUUUACGUUUUGCGCAGUGUUGCUCCUUCUUCCAUUGUGGAAUGAUUUAUCCUAGCUAACUUGUUGAGUUACAGGUGUAUGCGCCAUUCAUCAAAGCCUACCUGUUGGCAUCAUCAACAAUCUUCAAAGUGGGUGACGGAAAGAAAAUGUUUUCCAGUUUUAAAAUAUUAAGCGUUCAGCACAACUCAGCCACAAAACAACGCACUGGAUUGCGCUAAGAACCUGUCACUCUGACACUGUAAACAAGUGUACGAGUGGAUCCCAUACAAAAUUUCCCCUUUUUGCGGACUGAGAAACAAAAAAAUAAAGAGCCGAAAAAUUACACCAUUACACCACUCUCAAUACACUUCUGCUUAUAUCAUGGCAGAAUCGCCAAUGUGAUAUCUUCUAAUCCAACAAUCAACUUUCUUCUCCGGUACAUGGACGCACAUCCAGCUUUAUUCCUCGUACAACACUGACUAACUCCCUCACGCUCAUUCGUCACUCACACUCUCUUAGCUGUACCCUAGGAUACCGCAGUUCUAUCAUCAGGAUACCGCAGUUCUAUUCAACUUUUACUAACGCAUUACGAUCCAUCCGCAGAAAUAAUAGUGGUAGCAGACGCUUCAUCCAUUGGAAUCAGAGCCACUCUUAGUCACAAUUUCUACAACGGUAGCAUCAAAGUUGUGCAACACGCUUCAAGGGCGCUGACAAAGGUGGAAUCCAACUAAGGCCAAAUAUAAGUCCUUCCGCAAAAACAGCUUUGCAUAAACGCGGUCACCACGCUGAAAACGUUUGUGAAUUAAACCUGCCGGUUAUUCUCGUGCCGCAAGAGGAGGUUUAAGCAGUUCCAGAGAAGUUCUAACUUUUCGCCCAAGCAUAGCUUCCGGUGGCGAUUGUUUGUUCUCUAGCACCGGAUUGACGUGAUUGACGUUUCCUCAAAGAGCAAGUCACAGUCUGAUCGCACUCCAACAUUUCGACCGUUUUUGCGCGUGUUUUUUAAUCUCAUAUCGCUUCUGCACGCGCUCAACUAGUCCAUCUCUGGUCGAUUUAUCAUCCAGUGAUAAGGUUUUCAUCAAGUGUACAAACCCCGCAGCAUAAUUUCCAUUCGAAGAUUGUAUCAAAACCGCAUCGUGCCGGGAUCACAUACACUCAUCCUCGCGUGUGUUAGUGUGUUGUCGUUCUUUUUUUUUUCUUCAUCAUGGCCGAAUCCUGCCCCUCCUGUGCUGCUCCUGUAACGAGUGAUGACUCCUGUAAGUGUGUUGGCUUCUGUAAUACCACUUACCACUUUGGCUGCUUGAGUGUGUGUGAGGUGGUCAUGUCCGAGCUGAAACGUCCUGACUCACAAACUCUUUGGAUCUGCACUAGCUGCAAUGAAUCACGCGCCAGUAAGGGUUUUUCACUUAAUGGAAUGCUAGCUGCUCUUUCAAACCUGAAGCUGGAGCUUCUUGGAGAAUUUGAUUGUCGUCUCACGGAUGCCUUGGACGCAGUCAAGAAAGAUGUUCUAGCCGCGUUCCACGCAACUUAUGUUAACACGCACACUACGUUACUUACUGCUCCCCCUGGCUUACCGCUUCUAAUGAAUAAUUCUGUGGCCACUCCUAUAAGCUCUCGCCCCGGUGAGCUCGAUCGUAACUCACAAAACGCACCAUCCCGAAAUCCACCUAAGCGGAGGCUUGUUGAUUUUACGCCGCCGGAUACCAAUCCUAAUACCCCACUGCUCACGGGUACAGCGCCUAUAUUAACAUCGUAUCGUGCCGUGUUGACAGUCCCAUUAAGUGAUCCUAACUCUAAUAGGUUUUGGUUAUACCUUACCCGCAUAGCUCCGUCGGUCACAGACGUCGAGAUGAAGGAAAUGAUAACAACACAACUGGGCACUGAUGACGUCAUCAUAAAUAAGCUGUUGCCCCGCGACCGCGAUCCUAACACUCUCACUUUUAUCUCAUUUAAAGUAGGGAUCCCUACGGACAAAGAGUGGGUAAUUUUUAUCAUGGUGUGCGUAAAAACCUAGAAUCAAGCCGAUGGAAGAUUUCGUAGGCUUAAAAAAAGGGGAGAGAAUCGGUACCACGGUUCUCUCCCGCUCCCAUAUAAAAUACACGGUGCGCUCUCUCGGUUUCCAAGGCUUCUUUGCUUUCAAUGUGUGAGUGAAAUGUCGAGGCUCUGAAAUGGUGUGUGUGUCAACUCUGCAUUUAUUCGAAGCUGUCAAAUGCGAUGUUUACAUUUUCAUACCGGCAAAAUUUGAUAUACGCGUAGGAGUGAUUUUAAACUGUGAAAAGUAAAAGAGUAAAAAAGUUAUUAAAUAACAUUACAAGGUAACUUUAGUUAAAUGUUUAUGGUAGAAUAAUGCCAACUAACCUUUAAAUACUGUCUUUCGUAGUUAUUUUGGUGCUAUAUAUCAGUGGGUCAGUUUGUUAUACCCUGCGAAGGAAGAAGAAGAAACACAAAGCACGCGCGGCUAAAUCCUGAAGGCGAAGAAAUGGUACAUUCGCAUCUGCGUGAACCGUUACUAACCGGUGAAGCACCUGUGGUGCAUGGUUCACCUGUUGUGCCUUCGACUUCAACACGAUGCCCGCGUCCUAUCGGCACGAUUUUACGGGCUAAUAUACCGUCGGAGCCGUGUAUUGCGGCGUCUGCAUAUGGUGUACAAAUGCCGUCAUCGAUUGCAACAAUGCCAAGUUCGACUGGCUCAUUAUACACCAUGACGCCACCGACUUCAGUUGCAGUCACGUCUUCGAUUGUGUCUUCAACAAGAAUGGCCACAGCAACUUUGCUUCUAUCGGGGACAUUCAUUAGAACGGUUGCACCAUCCACGCCUGCGCAGACAACAUAUGUUGUAGCUUCAUCGACUGCGACUACAUCAACGGUAACAUCAUCUCAUUACAUGCAUUCAGCAUGGCGUG
Molecule: long non-coding RNA, 4669 nt
Organism: Anopheles arabiensis
Lineage: Eukaryota; Metazoa; Arthropoda; Insecta; Diptera; Culicidae
Exons: 4
Source: RefSeq, a predicted model, not a curated record